This 2127-nucleotide long non-coding RNA is filed under the name Sus scrofa (pig). RNAcentral's name for it is "lncRNA (ENSSSCG00015001508.1)". The record is from RNAcentral. Lineage: Eukaryota; Metazoa; Chordata; Mammalia; Artiodactyla; Suidae.
GGGCGGGUUUGAGAGAGCGUUGUUGGUCUUUGCGUGGCUGCCUAGUGAUGACAUCUUUCUUUCCCGCCCACCCCUCCUCACAAGCUUCUUAGCGAUUUGGUUUUGCUGUGCAUCUGGCAAAAUGAAGCUGGCCCAGUGACAAAUUUGGUUGCCUAACCAGGAGCUUUUACUGGCAGGGGCCAGGUUGAGGAAGAAAGGGGAACAAAUGGAGAAUGACGUAACUGGCUACUCCACUGGUGGCUGCCUUAACACAGGACGAGCUGGACCAAAUCGAGGAACCCACAGGGACUUAGCAAGAGGUUCUUGGAAAUACCAUCUGGCUGUCCUCCAUGUAGAUGGUCUUCUUUUUGUGGUAAGAAAUAGUGCAGUAAAACUGAUCUCUCAUUGCUGUUAUGAAAACAUAAAAUGGGUAGGAAAUGCAUCACUCUGAAACUGGGCGACGGUCACAGUGUACUGAACUAGCUUAUACAAGAUUGGAAGACUUGGAGCUCACAAAUGAUCCCUUUUCAUGAGCAGAAUGCAUCUUUCUCAUCAUGUGCUUUUGUUCCCUACACCAUCCCCUGAACCACCUAAGUUCACCUCAGUAGGGUGAUCACAUUGAAGGGCCUCUGAAAAGAUGAGGAUUUGAUUCAGAGGCAUUUCGAUGUGGCAGAAAGAAUGGAGUUUGGAGUUGGGCACACCUGGAUUCUAAUAUUAGUGUUGACGUGUGUAGACCUUGGGAUCGGCACAGCUUCUCUGGGCUCAUUGUUUUGAGAGCAGCCAGAGUAUGGUUGUGGCUUAGCAUCUGGCAUGAGUAGGGCUUUCAACACUUUGCUUUCUUGCCCACUUCCCCAACUUGUAGUCAGAUGUCACUCAAAAGGGGGUUUUUGUGUGUAUAUGAAAGUGUAAGUAACUUUAGGAGAGAAUGCGGUGAGGGAUGAGGGAAAGCUUCAGCAGAGGUAACUUCUUUUGCUCAAGAUGACUCUGAGUUUUUACUGAUGUCUCAGAAGUAUCUCUGGGCAGGCUGAAGACAAAGGUAUUUGCUUGGUAGGCAUCCAGAAGGUGCCUUUCAGUGCCUUCAUGCCAAGAAUUCUUUUGCCUAAACACAUACUCAAUCAUGAAAAGACGUACUGGUCAUCAGUCAUGCCUCUAUUAGGUCUUAUCUCAGUAGGCAUGGAACUGAAGGGGAUAAGCACUUAGGGAGGUCAGACCCUGUGACUCUUCAAAUACGUUUGCCCAGGGAUGAAGCUUAAAACAAAGGACACGAGCCAGAAUACUUUUGUGAUAACUUUUUUCUUUAGAAAAAAAAAUGUACAAAAAGAAAAGUUAAAGAAGAACCAACAUGGAAGUGUCAAGAGAACAUUCUGAUGGGUACAGACAAGGGAGCGCCUUCUCUCGAAGGAGUUACACAUUAGUUAUUACCAUGCUAGAAAAAUGAGAUGCAGUUAAAAUUGGAGCCAUAAAGUCAAGCUGUUGCUCUGGGGCUCUAGGCUGUAGAUGCUCCGCCACCCUUCCUGUAAAGUAAUACUGUGCAAACUAUAAAAUAUACAUUUUCUACAAAGUCCGUACAGUGAGAUAUACAAAACUGAGUGGAUAGGGGAGGCUGGUAGUGGCAUUUUUGGGGAACGCAGGUGGCAGUAUCACCUGCCAGCCCAAGGGCAUGGCUGCAGAGUGAUCUUGAAUUUCUUACACAGGAGAGGCCCUUAGGUAAGAAAGAAUCAUGCCCAGCAUUGCUCAAAUCCAGGAUUCCCUGUCACUGGUUGUGUAACUUAGGUGAUCUUUUAUUAAUAUAUUACUUUGAAUGUGAUCACGUGUCAAGAAAUCUGAACACAAAGUUCUUUUUCAGGGUAGUAUUUUUUCCUGCACAAUUGAUUGCUGAGAUUGACCAUUAACCAACAUCAUUUUCCCUGUAACGCAAAAGUGAAGUUUCAUUAAAAUUCCAAAAUUCCAGAAGAGGCAGCAACCGUGGUAGUAAAAGAUUAAAGUGAAUUAUUAUGUUCAUUUUAUUGGUAUCUAUAAAACUGAGAAAAGAGGGUUUGUGUACAAAUAUCACCAAACAACAUCAACCAUUGAAUAAAUGUGGUUCUUCGAUGCACACCUGAACAAGAAAGUUUUCUUUAAAAUUCUGGCAUAAAUAUAUUAAAGCUG